Molecule: non-coding RNA, 27 nt
Filed under: Bos taurus (domestic cattle)
Lineage: Eukaryota; Metazoa; Chordata; Mammalia; Artiodactyla; Bovidae
Also listed under: 2 other names
Source: RNAcentral
AUCCUUAGGUCGCUGGUUCGAUUCCGG